UCCGGUUUAUCACCGGCAGUUUCCCUAGAGUGCUCGGCCGAACCGUUAGCAACUAAGGACAAGGGUUGCGCUCGUUGCGAGACUUAACUCAACACCUCACGGCACAAGCUGACGACAGCCAUGCAGCACCUGUCUCUGCGCCCCUUGCGGGGACCACCCAUCUCUGGGCUUAGCACAGGAUGUCAAACCCUGGUAAGGUUCUGCGCGUUGCGUCGAAUUAAACCACAUGCUCCACCGCUUGUGCGGGCCCCCGUCAAUUCCUUUGAGUUUCGACCUUGCGGCCGAACUCCCCAGGCGGGAUGCUUAAUGCGUUAGCUGCGCCACUGAUAAGCAUGCUUACCAACGGCUAGCAUCCAUCGUUUACGGCGUGGACUAC
Molecule: unclassified non-coding RNA, 376 nt
Filed under: uncultured Pseudomonadota bacterium
Lineage: Bacteria; Pseudomonadati; Pseudomonadota
Description: uncultured proteobacterium contains 16S-23S intergenic spacer region
Source: RNAcentral